This 374-nucleotide long non-coding RNA is filed under the name Gallus gallus (chicken). RNAcentral's name for it is "lncRNA (ENSGALG00010020774.1)". Lineage: Eukaryota; Metazoa; Chordata; Aves; Galliformes; Phasianidae. The record is from RNAcentral.
CCUCCGUGACCGUCCCAGCGGCAGCAGGGAGCUCAGCGGAGAGGCGCAGGCUGACGCCGGGCCCCUCAGCGAGCCGUUCUCGGGGCAGCCAGCAUCCUCUGGGCAGCUCUCUGAGCCGCUGCCCCGCGGGCAUCUGAUGGAAGAGGCGCGGCAGAGGCAGCCCCGGGUGGUUCUCACCCGCCUGGCACUGCCGACCCCCCUGGCUGCCCCCGCACCUCUGUUGCCCCACAGUGCACAUCUGACCAAAGAGGUGCAGCGGAGGCAGCCCCGGGUGCUUCUCACCCGCCUGGCACUGCCACCCGGCUGCAUCUCCUGCCACGUGCCCCACAACCACCGCGGGGACGGCAGCGAGCCGGCCGAGUGCCCAACGCCCG